Molecule: ribosomal RNA, 253 nt
Filed under: uncultured bacterium
Lineage: Bacteria
Description: partial 16S ribosomal RNA
Rfam family: Bacterial small subunit ribosomal RNA
Source: RNAcentral
UACGUAGGGUGCGAGCGUUGUCCGGAAUUAUUGGGCGUAAAGAGCUUGUAGGCGGCUUGUCGCGUCUGCUGUGAAAAUCCGGGGCUCAACCCCGGACUUGCAGUGGGUACGGGCAGACUAGAGUGUGGUAGGGGAGACUGGAAUUCCUGGUGUAGCGGUGAAAUGCGCAGAUAUCAGGAGGAACACCGAUGGCGAAGGCAGGUCUCUGGGCAGUAACUGACGCUGAGGAGCGAAAGCGUGGGGAGCGAACAGG